RNAcentral lists this ribosomal RNA (685 nucleotides) under Matrona basilaris. RNAcentral describes it as "eukaryotic LSU rRNA". The stretch from base 219 to 373 matches the Rfam family "5.8S ribosomal RNA". The record is from RNAcentral. Lineage: Eukaryota; Metazoa; Arthropoda; Insecta; Odonata; Calopterygidae.
CCGAAGGUACUGCGGAGACAUUACUGUUUUCCGUAAAUCGGAGUUUGGAAACGAGAAACGGAGAAAAAGUGGCAAACCAGGAGUGCGGUCUCAGGCACGCAGUGCGUCUCGCGACCGUUUUAAAUGCCCUUCGCCCGUUUCCUUGGCACUCCAGGGAAUAAAUUCCCGGUCGGUCUCCUCCGGAGAACCGUCUUUUAUUCUAAAAAAAAUUGGACAGAAAUCCUAAACGGUGGAUCACUCGGCUCGUGGAUCGAUGAAGGACGCAGCAAACUGCGCGUCGAAUUGUGAACUGCAGGACACAUGAACAUCGACGCUUCGAACGCACAUUGCAGCCCACGGAUUCUGUUCCCGGGUUACGCCUGGCUGAGGGCCGGCAAUCGAGUUUAGACGCCUCCGGGCUGUGUAACAGGGACGAGGUGGUACGUCCUUUGGAAACCCUCUCUGCCGGACCGAUCGGGGCACCGAGAGGGACGGGUCGGCCCGUCGCCUCCGGUCGCGGUGACGCUUCGUUCUCUCAAUCGAGGCGGCGUCCGCGAGCGACCGGAAAGGGCGACGGCGCGCGAACGAGCCCGUUCCCUCGGAAGCCCCGUUCAUUACGCCGACCUCAGAGCAGGUGAGACUACCCGCUGAAUUUAAGCAUAUUAAUAAGCGGAGGAAAAGAAACUAACCAGGAUUCCCUUAGAGG